This 251-nucleotide long non-coding RNA is filed under the name Olea europaea subsp. europaea. The record is from RNAcentral. Lineage: Eukaryota; Viridiplantae; Streptophyta; Magnoliopsida; Lamiales; Oleaceae.
UGGGCUAGUAAAUUAGUAAUAGGGCCUAUUGUUUUUUUUCCCCAAAAAGCCUACAUAUUGGGAAGGCCCAAAAUCUAAAAAUUAAAAAAUUGUCCCAACUAAACUCUUCUUCCUCCUCCCUUCUUCUUCCCUGUCGGCGAGUUAAUUUCUUCCUCCUGCUAGCUGUAACUUUCUUCCUCCUGCCCUUCUUCCCUGUUGACGCCACUGCCUACAGACAGCAAGCACACUUUCUUCUUCUUCCUUCCCUUUUC